Molecule: non-coding RNA, 174 nt
Organism: Peromyscus maniculatus bairdii (prairie deer mouse)
Lineage: Eukaryota; Metazoa; Chordata; Mammalia; Rodentia; Cricetidae
Source: RefSeq, a predicted model, not a curated record
GGCUGGAGAGAUGGCUCAGCGGUUAAGAGCGCUGCCUGUUUUUCCAGAGGUCCUGAGUUCAACUCCCAGCAACCACACGGUGGCUCACAACCAUCUGUCAUGAGAUUUGAUGUCCUCUUCUGGCCUGCAGGGAUACAUGCAGACAGAACACUGUGUACAUAAUAAAUAAAUCUU